Ornithodoros turicata is the source of this 1460-nucleotide long non-coding RNA. RefSeq lists it as uncharacterized. The record is from RefSeq and is a predicted model, not a curated record. NCBI's taxonomy places the organism in Eukaryota, Metazoa, Arthropoda, Arachnida, Ixodida, Argasidae. The transcript has 3 exons.
CAUACUGUCAUGUGCGUCGGAAACUGUUGGAACGUACGAGCAUCUAUAGCGUCAGUGAUAACUCGGGUGUGUCGCUUGUGAGUGUUCUUGGAAACUCAUCCGGAAGUGACUAUAUGCAUUACUAUAGGUGCAGUUGUAACUUGGAAGUUAGACGUAUACUACCCACCGACUCUCUUUCACCGAAUUUCUUCCGCCUUGAAUGAAGCAGAAGACACAGCUUCUCGCCAGGACCAUCGCAAAAGUGUUUCAGAUAUCUAUGUAGUACAAGGACUGUGCUGCCUGAAGAACACGGCCUGGAACCUGUCAAGUUACCUGGCAUUUUUCUUCCAGGCUCGUUGCGUAUACGAAUCUGCGCCGGGCGUGCUUUGUCGUCAUUACACAGCCAGGUUUCUCAGAGCAACAUACCCGGGCUGUGCACGAACUGGACCACUGACGCAGGAGCUCCUGCUCGCCUUGCGAAAGGGGACUGGGUGUUCAAGUAUAAGUGUGGGACGCAUUACCCUGAUACGGUGAUUGUGAGCUACGGUACAUUAUGAUUUACAGAGUAUUCGUGCAACUGUUAUUACAAUGAAGGUGCUUAAAGAUACACUGCGCUGGCAAAACGGCGGCACACAAGAGCCCCACAUCGUUGACACAUACAACACACUCGUGUAUGUAACAUAGGCAGCCAAAACGACGACCAAGACGAGAGAAUAGACACAGACAACACCACUGCGAGUGGUGUUGUCUAUUCAGUUCAUGACUUCGGAGAGCUGCAAGCCGGAUAACAACACGUGGACGAGGACACUUAGUCUGGCCAAAUAAUAAUGCUGUACAUUAUGUAUUGCACACUGUAAGAUGGGACAAGACAGAAUGCUUGCCCACAUCACAUUUAAAAAAUAGACGCACUGUAACAACACAGCAUAGCAAUACUGUAUAGUCUAAGAACCGCUAGAUGUAGAUGAAGUGCUGUUACAGCACUUAAUCCCGCAUUCAUGAGACGCUAGUAGAAAUCUCGAUAGUACAGCACUGCCUGUACUAUCGACAUUUCUACUAGCGUCCCGUGAAUGCGAUUAUCGGCUUACUCAGUUUCAUCACUAACCGCUCGCGCCGAAAAUCGUGAGGCGAAAAUUCUUGCGCAAAAAUGAUUUGCUGUUGAAAUGUUGUUCUGCUACCUAAUGUAUUUCAUUUAUCUCGAGUCUGACUCUGAUGAUUUUCGGGCUCAGGGGAUUCCUGUGAACGUACACGGUGCUUCGAGCCGAAAGCAUGGCAAAAAAGCGUUGUGGAUCCAGAAUAAAGACAUUAUACAAUUUUUUUUUUCAACCCGAAUACAUUUUUAAUCCAAAGGACGACAUGGUUAAUUCAUAGCUUUGGUAAUACAUGACAACACCCUGUUUAUCAUGCAUUUGUAAGCAAAUCGUGUCAAUGAAGCACCUAUACGUUCAUAUUGCACGCUUGUACAAAACAAACACGAUCACGAU